RNAcentral lists this ribosomal RNA (387 nucleotides) under uncultured bacterium. RNAcentral describes it as "bacterial SSU rRNA". It matches the Rfam family "Bacterial small subunit ribosomal RNA", at positions 85 to 507 of the family's 1533-position model. The record is from RNAcentral.
GAGCGGAUUAGUGGCGCACGGGUGAGUAAUGCAUAGGAACAUGCCCCUUAGUCUGGGAUAGCCAUUGGAAACGGUGAUUAAUACCGGAUAUUACCCUACGGGGGAAAGUUUUUCGCUAAGGGAUUGGCCUAUGUCCUAUCAGCUUGUUGGUGAGGUAAUGGCUCACCAAGGCUAUGACGGGUAUCCGGCCUGAGAGGGUGUACGGACACACUGGAACUGAGACACGGUCCAGACUCCUACGGGAGGCAGCAGUAGGGAAUAUUGCUCAAUGGGGGAAACCCUGAAGCAGCAACGCCGCGUGGAGGAUGAAGGUCCUGGGAUUGUAAACUCCUUUUCUAAGGGAAUAUUAUGACUGUACCUUAGGAAUAAGCACCGGCUAACUCCGUG